This 321-nucleotide long non-coding RNA is filed under the name Trifolium pratense (red clover). RNAcentral's name for it is "long non-coding RNA (TPRA_LNC007608)". The record is from RNAcentral. Lineage: Eukaryota; Viridiplantae; Streptophyta; Magnoliopsida; Fabales; Fabaceae.
UUAAGUUCUCUAGUACCCCUACCCCAAACUUAAGAUGUUGCUAAUUCCAUAAGCAACCCCAAACUUAAAAUGAUGCCAUGACAAGGAAAUUUAAAUCUUCUACCUAACUCCAAGGAGGGCAAACAGAUAAAAAUUUUCAGGUCUAAAAGGUUUAUAAUUUGGCCGUAUGUCACCGAAAGAAAGGGGAAUAUUUUUUGGCUCAAAAUGGUUUAGCAACGGAUAAAUAAUAAUAAACAGGGUAGCUUGAAAAGGCUUAGAGUACCAAAAAAAUGUGCCUCUAUGUGUUAAAAUGUAAAACCAAUCAACAGUAAAGAAUAGUCG